AAAGCUUUAAGUUAAUAAAACUAUUAACCUUCAAAGUUAAAAUUAUAUUUAAUAAAUAUAUAAGCUUUA
RNAcentral lists this transfer RNA (69 nucleotides) under Pentatomidae sp. GM-2014. RNAcentral's name for it is "tRNA-Trp". The record is from RNAcentral. Lineage: Eukaryota; Metazoa; Arthropoda; Insecta; Hemiptera; Pentatomidae.